RNAcentral lists this ribosomal RNA (483 nucleotides) under uncultured bacterium. RNAcentral describes it as "partial 16S ribosomal RNA". It matches the Rfam family "Bacterial small subunit ribosomal RNA", at positions 28 to 523 of the family's 1533-position model. The record is from RNAcentral.
GACGAACGCUGGCGGCGUGCUUAACACAUGCAAGUCGAACGAUGAUGCCCAGCUUGCUGGGUGGAUUAGUGGCGAACGGGUGAGUAACACGUGAGUAACCUGCCCCUGACUCUGGGAUAAGCGUUGGAAACGACGUCUAAUACUGGAUAUGACUGCCGGCCGCAUGGUCUGGUGGUGGAAAGAUUUUUUGGUUGGGGAUGGACUCGCGGCCUAUCAGCUUGUUGGUGAGGUAAUGGCUCACCAAGGCGACGACGGGUAGCCGGCCUGAGAGGGUGACCGGCCACACUGGGACUGGGACACGGCCCAGACUCCGACGGGGGGCAGCAGUGGGGAAUAUUGCACAAUGGGCGAAAGCCUGAUGCAGCAACGCCGCGUGAGGGAUGACGGCCUUCGGGUUGUAAACCUCUUUUAGUAGGGAAGAAGCGAAAGUGACGGUACCUGCAGAAAAAGCACCGGCUAACUACGUGCCAGCCGCCGCCGUAA